RNAcentral lists this long non-coding RNA (2143 nucleotides) under Pelobates cultripes (western spadefoot toad). The record is from RNAcentral. Lineage: Eukaryota; Metazoa; Chordata; Amphibia; Anura; Pelobatidae.
GAAUCGCACUAAGAAGUCUCUUGGUGCUGAAGUUGGUGCUUUGGCUGGUUUUUACAGUCGGAAUAGCCCCUCCAAUCCCACCAGUUUAGCUUGCUUGGGGGGUAGUAGUGCCAGUAGAAGGUGCCGUAUAAGAUGUGGUAGCUCUGCCUCCAAGGUCUCUUACGAUAUCCCUCUUAUCUUGAGGUUUAAUCUUCGUCUCUGGUCUUCAAGCACUGCAAACUGUUCAUCUGUUUUGGCUUGUUGUAGUUGCAGAUCCUGCACUGACCGUUGCAGUUGGGCUGUAUGCUUAACAUGUUGGUGGGUUUCUCGCUCCAAAGCCCCCAUGCGGCUCGUUAGGCCCUGCAGUUCUUUUUGGAUGUGAGUCACCUCAGCCUGAAUGGUAUGCAGUCUGAGUGAGAGGUGGUCGGCUUGAGAGCCCUCUGCUCCGGUGUAUGUCCCUCUGCCGUUUCCAGAGAGAAGUAGUCUGAUAUCUCAAAUCCGUUGUCUCAGAUGUCAGCCAUUUUAGGGUCCAUAGCUCUCUGGACCUGUCGCCAUAAGUCGCUGAUAUUCAUCCCCAUUCUCGGCUAAUGGGGUCUAGGUUUUUUGUUUUUCUGUCCCAUAUUGUGAGAGUCAGCUUUAGUUUUGAUUUGCAAGUUUGUGAGCAUGAAAAAACGGGUUAUAAUUAGCUUGUCGGUAUAGACCUCAUGCAACAUGUGACCAUCCAGCUCAGUAGCUUGGCUCUGCCCCGAGAUAAUACUCUUUUAUACUCAAGUAAUCUAGAUAAAUCCAUCCAGAUAACUAAAAAGACACUUUAAGCAUCAUACUGACUCCAACUUAUUAUAGUGAUUAUGGUGCAUGGAGCCUUUGGGUGCAUUCCUUUAGUUUCUGACAAAUCAGCUUUAAUUAUUUUAAUAAAAACACUGUCUCUCUCGGCACCCAAAGCCCACUCUCAGCUAUAUGCAAGAUAUAUGGAAUAUUUAUUUAUAUAUACCUGUACACAUAGACAGCAAUUAAAAGCUGUUUUUUCCCAUUAUUACACAUCAGUGGCUGAGGAUCAGGAGUUUGGGUGCUACAGGUCGUUUUUUGUCAAAUAUAUUGGAAACCUGUUGUCAUGAAGUUGUCUACAUUUAGUUUUGAUAACUACACAGAAAUAGAAAAGUAGAUUUGUUUUUCUUACCUAUGUAUUGGAAAAUCAAAGGCUAUAUUCUCUAAAUAUUGACUGUGUAAUCAAAAACUAUUUACAGAUGUAGCCCAUAACACUUGAUAGAAAAGUAUCUGAUCCCCUUAUAUUGGCUAUUUUGACUUAGCUCUGCCCUUUUUAUGAAGCGGCGCGAACGCGACUAUGUCAUGACGCCGAUGAUGUCACAGCCCGCCAAAACUUUUGAAUUCAACUGUUUUUGGGUCGUGGCCAUAGAUCAAAGGCAUAUCAUAAAAAAGGGCAUUUAGUGUAUGGAUCUUUGUCCUGUUGUGGGUUCCCAAGAGUGCGUUAUGUUCUGUGUCUAUUUUGGUGUUUUGAUCUUGGCUUUCCUCUGACUAUUCUCUGUUCUGUUCUCCUGUGACUCGGCUAUUGGAUUUUCGCUUUCCUGAUUUCUGGCUUCCCUGACUCGGCUUUCUUUAUCUAACAACGUAUAACCCGGCCAUUCUAAGGACCGGUAAAUGUUGUCUCAUCUUUUAUCAUAUACACACUGCGUGUUGGGUCACUAGGUACUGUGACAGACCUGCCAGUGAGCUCAUUGACAAGUGAACAGCUGCACACACACAUUCUCAAGGCUUGUCAAUGGGAAGCCUCUGAUUGGUGCUGGGGAUGAAGAGGAGGUAUUGCAAUAACUGCAGAUACUAGAUCUGCAGCAAUUGCAAGCCUAAAUUUCACAUACCCCUAAAGAAUUACAAGAUGUAUCUACAAAUGUAUUUAUUUUAUUUAAUGGAGUGCUUCUUAAGAUAUUGGGAUACCAGUGACUAACAAGCUUAUGUUAAUGACCAUUCAGUUGAUGUACAUAGCUGGACACCAAGCCCUGCUGUUAAAUUGCAGUUGCAUUAUGUUUUUGGUUGAUUUCCUCUGUGGCUUGGAUCUGAUUCAUCUAUGUUUUCUUGAGAAACAAAAAUUGCAUAAUUUACUGUGAAUUUGAUUUUAUCAUUGGGGUGAGGUGUAUACGUUUGUGAAAUU